RNAcentral lists this ribosomal RNA (433 nucleotides) under uncultured bacterium. Its description in RNAcentral is "partial 16S ribosomal RNA". It matches the Rfam family "Bacterial small subunit ribosomal RNA", at positions 29 to 507 of the family's 1533-position model. The record is from RNAcentral.
AACGAACGCUGGCGGCAGGCCUAACACAUGCAAGUCGAGCGAGGACUUCGGUCCUAGCGGCGGACGGGUGAGUAACGCGUGGGAACGUGCCCUUUGCUUCGGAAUAGCCCUGGGAAACUGGGAGUAAUACCGGAUGAGCCCUUUGGGGGAAAGAUUUAUCGGCGAAGGAUCGGCCCGCGUUGGAUUAGGUAGUUGGUGGGGUAAUGGCCUACCAAGCCGACGAUCCAUAGCUGGUUUGAGAGGAUGAUCAGCCACACUGGGACUGAGACACGGCCCAGACGCCUACGGGAGGCAGCAGUGGGGAAUGUGAGACAAUGGGGGAAGCCCUGAUCUAGCCAUGCCGCGUGAACGAUGAAGGCGUUAGGGUUAUAAAGCUCUUUCAGCUGCGAAGAUAAUGACGGUACCAGAAGAAGAAGCCCCGGCUAACUCCGUG